Molecule: microRNA, 25 nt
Filed under: Eptesicus fuscus (big brown bat)
Lineage: Eukaryota; Metazoa; Chordata; Mammalia; Chiroptera; Vespertilionidae
Description: efu-miR-9298
Source: miRBase by way of RNAcentral
GCUGAUUGUCAUGUUCUGAUUUGGC